AGAGUUUGAUCCUGGCUCAGAACGAACGCUGGCGGCGUGGAUAAGACAUGCAAGUCGAACGAGAGAAUUGCUAGCUUGCUAAUAAUUCUCUAGUGGCGCACGGGUGAGUAACACGUGAGUAACCUGCCCCCGAGAGCGGGAUAGCCCUGGGAAACUGGGAUUAAUACCGCAUAGUAUCGAAAGAUUAAAGCAGCAAUGCGCUUGGGGAUGGGCUCGCGGCCUAUUAGUUAGUUGGUGAGGUAACGGCUCACCAAGGCGAUGACGGGUAGCCGGUCUGAGAGGAUGUCCGGCCACACUGGAACUGAGACACGGUCCAGACACCUACGGGUGGCAGCAGUCGAGAAUCAUUCACAAUGGGGGAAACCCUGAUGGUGCGACGCCGCGUGGGGGAAUGAAGGUCUUCGGAUUGUAAACCCCUGUCAUGUGGGAGCAAAUUAAAAAGAUAGUACCACAAGAGGAAGAGACGGCUAACUCUGUGCCAGCAGCCGCGGUAAUACAGAGGUCUCAAGCGUUGUUCGGAAUCACUGGGCGUAAAGCGUGCGUAGGCUGUUUCGUAAGUCGUGUGUGAAAGGCGCGGGCUCAACCCGCGGACGGCACAUGAUACUGCGAGACUAGAGUAAUGGAGGGGGAACCGGAAUUCUCGGUGUAGCAGUGAAAUGCGUAGAUAUCGAGAGGAACACUCGUGGCGAAGGCGGGUUCCUGGACAUUAACUGACGCUGAGGCACGAAGGCCAGGGGAGCGAAAGGGAUUAGAUACCCCUGUAGUCCUGGCAGUAAACGGUGCACGCUUGGUGUGCGGGGAGUCGACCCCCUGCGUGCCGGAGCUAACGCGUUAAGCGUGCCGCCUGGGGAGUACGGUCGCAAGAUUAAAACUCAAAGAAAUUGACGGGGACCCGCACAAGCGGUGGAGUAUGUGGCUUAAUUCGAUGCAACGCGAAGAACCUUACCUGGGCUUGACAUCCUACUAACGAAGUAGAGAUACAUCAGGUGCCCUUCGGGGAAAGUAGAGACAGGUGGUGCAUGGUUGUCGUCAGCUCGUGUCGUGAGAUGUUGGGUUAAGUCCCGCAACGAGCGCAACCCCUAUUGUUAGUUGCUACGCAAGAGCACUCUAGCGAGACUGCCGUUGACAAAACGGAGGAAGGUGGGGACGACGUCAAAUCAUCAUGCCCCUUAUGUCCUGGGCUACACACGUAAUACAAUGGCGGUCAACAGAGGGAUGCAAAACCGUAAGGUGGAGCGAACCCCUAAAAGCCGUCUCAGUUCAGAUUGUGGGCUGCAACCCGCCCACAUGAAGUCGGAAUCGCUAGUAAUCGCGGAUCAGCAUGCCGCGGUGAAUACGUUCCCGGGCCUUGUACUCACCGCCCGUCA
RNAcentral lists this ribosomal RNA (1367 nucleotides) under uncultured bacterium. RNAcentral's name for it is "bacterial SSU rRNA". It matches the Rfam family "Bacterial small subunit ribosomal RNA". The record is from RNAcentral.